UCUGGUGACCGUAGAGCCGCGGCCCCACCCGGUCCCAUCCCGAACCCGGAAGUGAAACGCGGCAUCGCCGAUGGUAGUAGGGCGAAAGGCCCUGUGAGAGUAGGUCGUUGCCAGUU
This 116-nucleotide ribosomal RNA is filed under the name Verrucomicrobiales bacterium. Lineage: Bacteria; Pseudomonadati; Verrucomicrobiota; Verrucomicrobiia; Verrucomicrobiales. The record is from RNAcentral.